GUGUCAGCAGCCGCGGUAAUACAGAGGUCCCAAGCGUUGUUCGGAUUCACUGGGCGUAAAGGGUGCGUAGGCGGUCGGGUAAGUCUGAUGUGAAAUCUCCAAGCUUAACUUGGAAAUGGCAUCGGAUACUAUCCGGCUGGAGGAAUGGAGGGGAGACUGGAAUUCUCGGUGUAGCAGUGAAAUGCGUAGAUAUCGAGAGGAACACCAGUGGCGAAGGCGAGUCUCUGGACAUUUCCUGACGCUGAGGCACGAAAGCCAGGGGAGCAAACGGGAUUAGAUACCCGCGUAGUCC
This 292-nucleotide ribosomal RNA is filed under the name uncultured bacterium. RNAcentral's name for it is "partial 16S ribosomal RNA". It matches the Rfam family "Bacterial small subunit ribosomal RNA", at positions 505 to 796 of the family's 1533-position model. The record is from RNAcentral.